CUGGACUGGGCCUUUCCGCUCUGAGCUCUGUUCCUGCUCAUUGCUGGAAGCCGGUUCAAACCCCACCUGCUGCCUGGGACCCGCAUACAGGGACCCACGUGUAUGCGCAUGCACACACAUGCACACGCAUGCACACGCACCACAGCAAGCGCCCCCGCCCCAGGAAGAGUAAACAUCUCCACCAGAGGAAGCAGCAGGCCCGUCUCCCAAGAGAAAAAAUGUGGCUAAACCAGACCCAGGCGGCCUGUGGGCCCCACUCUUGCUACCACCCUGGAGUCACGAUGGUCUCUCAAGUCUGGUGGUAAAACAUUGACAGCUCCCCACUCCAGGGGCCUGGCACCCACAUGGGCAGCCAUAGACGCCUCCACCAGGAAGCCCUCUGGGAAGAAGACGGCCUCUGCGUCCCAGCUCUGUCCAGUGGCCUCCAAGGUCCCCACCCAGCAUCAGCCCUGAGCAUGAGCAGGCAUCGUGUGGGGGGUAAGCCGUUGGCAAGGCCACUUGGCUCUACCUUCAAGACAUACCAGAGCCUAACGCGUCCCGCCGCCUGGUCCCCUCCCGCUGGGACCUGCGCCCACCUCCUCACCGGCCCCUCCUCUGCACACAACCUCUGGAAAACCUUAAUCAGGUCAUAUCCCCGUCUUGGCCAGGCCCCCCGGGCUGCCGUCUCACUCCAAUAAAACUCUUUAUAGUAACCC
This 695-nucleotide long non-coding RNA is filed under the name Equus caballus (horse). RNAcentral describes it as "lncRNA (ENSECAG00000043290.2)". Lineage: Eukaryota; Metazoa; Chordata; Mammalia; Perissodactyla; Equidae. The record is from RNAcentral.